CCUCCUGGGGAGGAAGGACGGGCUGGGCCUCGGGCGUCUGGGCACCCCCAGGCCUCCCAGCUGCCUGAGGCCGAGGCUGAGGCCGGCGGGAGGGGACGCACCUGUUGGCGGCCUCCUGGAGCCGCAGCCGCCGCUCCUCCAUCUUCCUUUGCAGCUGGCGCAGGGUUAAGGCCGCAUCGAUGCCCUGCACGUGCACUGAGCCCGGCCCUGAGGCUCAGCCGGACUCAGGGCCAGGGGCAGGGCACUGCCUCGGCCCUUCAGGAGGUCCAGUCCAGUGGCGGCGCUGGAGGACGGGCACCCACUAGGGCGGGAGGCAACUCAAGGUCACCUUCCCGGUUUCUCCCCUGGACACGGAGGCUGGAUGCACAGGAAGGAUACAGUCUCCUCCCGGGCCUUGGCGAUCACCAGGUUCUCCAUCAUCUGCCGCUGCAGGGACAGGGUCUGGAGGGGAGGGAGGGAGGAAUGAGGCCUGCUUUCCCCUCUCCCCCCGUCAGCAGCACAGAGCCGCCCGGGGCCCUGCUCACCAGCGACGUCUUCUGCAGGGCCUGGCUGGGGUCCAGACGGGCCAGCCGGGCCUCAUAGGCGGCCUUCAGCUUCUGGUUCUGCAGGGAGGCCUCCUCCAGGGGGGUCAGCUCCCUGCAAACGGGACACACUGCUGUCCGGGCCCAGGAAGCCCAGCGAUGUUCCGGGGGCCCAGCCCUGAGGCCAGAACGGCAGGAAGUGGUGUCUGGAUGGACGGACCAUGGGUGGACCACAGCGCCCUGAAAUGUGGGUGACCUGUUGCCAGGACAGCUGGCCUCUCCCAGGAAGCCAGACCUCAGACCUUGAUGUAGUUCAGUCGUGUGGGUUUGGCAACAACAUGAAACUCUUAAGGCAGCUGUGAGC
Molecule: long non-coding RNA, 885 nt
Organism: Pipistrellus kuhlii (Kuhl's pipistrelle)
Lineage: Eukaryota; Metazoa; Chordata; Mammalia; Chiroptera; Vespertilionidae
Exons: 2
Source: RefSeq, a predicted model, not a curated record